UAAAAUUAAUCAUUAUUUUUUAAUUACUAACCUCCAUCCAUGUGUUUCAUGGCAUUCUCAGCUUCAUCCGCAUUGCUAAAUUCAACAUAAGCAUAGCCUCGACCAUUGUGUGGAUGUAGUCUAUCCAUUGGGAACUCAACUGCUUUUACAGUACCAUAUGUAGAGAAAAUUUCAUGUAUAUGGUCUCUCGACACAUUUAAAGUUAGCCUGCCAAUAUGUAUUCGAGUUGGGCGGGGUGGCGGUGAACGUUCACGUUUUUUACGCCCUGGUGAUCUAUAACAGAUUUGUCAUUACUUGAAGGUGCUGUAAUUUUUUUUUUAUCUCCUAAUGGUGAUCUAUCUCGAAGUCUCUCUGCAUCUGGAUCCCGACGAUCUUUUAAUGGACUUUUUAGUGGAGAAGUCCUAAAAAGUGAGAUGAAUCGAUUGAAGCUACCACAUCAGAAAUAGUCGAAAAAGUUGUAUUGGAAAAUGCCCGGCUAAAGAUAAAACAGCUUGCAACAUUAGUUGGAAUAUCAGAAACAACCAUUUUAAACAUCCUACAUGAACACCUUGGCAUGAUUUGAAAAUGAUUUGUCUUGGGCGUCAGUUUCGGCAUAUUUUGACGCCCAAGACAAAUCAUUUUUUCGAUGGUAGUAAUAAGUUAUUUGACAGAUCUAAUAAAUGUAUUAGGGUUACGAGAGAAUAUAUUGAAAAGGAAAAA
Molecule: long non-coding RNA, 699 nt
Organism: Melitaea cinxia (Glanville fritillary)
Lineage: Eukaryota; Metazoa; Arthropoda; Insecta; Lepidoptera; Nymphalidae
Exons: 2
Source: RefSeq, a predicted model, not a curated record